AGCCGCGGUAAUACGGAGGGUGCGAGCGUUAAUCGGAAUUACUGGGCGUAAAAGCGCAUGCAGGCGGCCUGUUAAGUCAGAUGUGAAAAGCCCGGGCUUAAACCUCGGAAAUUGCAUUUGAAAAACUGGCAGGCUAGAGUCUUGUAGAGGGGGUAGAAUUUCAGGUGUAGCGGUGAAAAUGCGUAGAGAUCUGAAGGAAUACCAGUGGCGAAGGCGGCCCCUGGACAAAGACUGACGCUCAGAUGCGAAAGCGUGGGGAGCAAACAGGAUUAGAUACCCCUGGUAG
Molecule: ribosomal RNA, 286 nt
Filed under: uncultured bacterium
Lineage: Bacteria
Description: partial 16S ribosomal RNA
Rfam family: Bacterial small subunit ribosomal RNA
Source: RNAcentral